Molecule: ribosomal RNA, 497 nt
Filed under: uncultured bacterium
Lineage: Bacteria
Description: partial 16S ribosomal RNA
Rfam family: Bacterial small subunit ribosomal RNA
Source: RNAcentral
GACGAACGCUGGCGGCGUGCCUAAUACAUGCAAGUUGAGCGCUGAAGGUUGGUCCUUGUACCAACUGGAUGAGCAGCGAACGGGUGAGUAACGCGUGGGGAAUCUGCCUUUGAGCGGGGGACAACAUUUGGAAACGAAUGCUAAUACCGCAUAAAAACUUUAAACACAAGUUUUAAGUUUGAAAGAUGCAAUUGCAUCACUCAAAGAUGAUCCCGCGUUGUAUUAGCUAGUUGGUGAGGUAAAGGCUCACCAAGGCGAUGAUACAUAGCCGACCUGAGAGGGUGAUCGGCCACAUUGGGACUGAGACACGGCCCAAACUCCUACGGGAGGCAGCAGUAGGGAAUCUUCGGCAAUAGACGAAAGUCUGACCGAGCAACGCCGCGUGAGUGAAGAAGGUUUUCGGAUCGUAAAACUCGGUUGGUAGAGAAGAACGUUGGUGAGAGUGGAAAGCUCAUCAAGUGACGGUAACUACCCAGAAAGGGACGGCUAACUACGUG